UCCUCUGUGGUCCAGUGAUUAAGACACUGUGCUUUGACUGCAGGGUUGCAGGUUUGAUCCCUGUCUGGGAAG
This 72-nucleotide transfer RNA is filed under the name Ovis aries (sheep). It matches the Rfam family "tRNA". From Rfam's summary of the family: Transfer RNA (tRNA) molecules are approximately 80 nucleotides in length. Their secondary structure includes four short double-helical elements and three loops (D, anti-codon, and T loops). Further hydrogen bonds mediate the characteristic L-shaped molecular structure. tRNAs have two regions of fundamental functional importance: the anti-codon, which is responsible for specific mRNA codon recognition, and the 3' end, to which the tRNAs corresponding amino acid is attached (by aminoacyl-tRNA synthetases). tRNAs cope with the degeneracy of the genetic code in two manners: having more than one tRNA (with a specific anti-codon) for a particular amino acid; and 'wobble' base-pairing, i.e. permitting non-standard base-pairing at the 3rd anti-codon position. Lineage: Eukaryota; Metazoa; Chordata; Mammalia; Artiodactyla; Bovidae. The record is from Rfam by way of RNAcentral.